UUCAACUUAUGUAUGUUCAGAUGCAGAAAGACUCAUGUGCAACAGGCCAUUCCUACUCUCUCUCUCUCUCUCUCUCUCUCUCUCUCUCUCACACACACACACACACACACAAACACACGCACACUGGUUACCACUUCAUCCUACUCCUUAACCAUUAUUCGUACAUCUAAAUGAUCCUAAAAUUCAAAUUUUUCUAUUUUGGGAUAUUGUUAUAUGCUCCGUCUGUUGUAUUACAAGAUCAUUCUCUAUACCCUGCUUCCAUUAAUUUCCUUUUAGAACAUGGCUUUGGCGGUUGAUAUCCUGAGCAGAAAAGGAAUACUGUUUCUCAAUCCUCAUGUUUUAAUUUAUGCUAAAUUACAGUUCCAUUAAUAUAUGAACUUUGAAACUAUUUUAUUUCUAUUUUUGAUUUUUUUCCAUAAAUGCAACUGCACCGUGUUGAAGGUAGUCAACCAUAAUAGCAUAACUGAAUCAGAUAAGGUGGAGUUAAUUUUUUCCUUCUCCAAUUAUUUUUACUUUUGUUCUUAUAUGGUUUGGUGUUAAUAUGCUCAUUAAACUGUCAGUCCCAAAGGCUGUCUUAACUUACAUUAAAUGAGGUUUGGAACACAAACCGUUCCAUUCUGUUCUGUUCUGUUUUGUUCUGUUCCAUUCCGUUUUUAGAACCAGGGUUGCCAUAUGAGGAUGACAAGCCUGUUGAUUGUCAUCCUUAUAUUUGUAUAUUUAGAAAAUGACGUUUAUUAGAUAUGUGAUGUGAUUCUCAUUCUGUAUUCACAAUUUCACAUGAUCUUUCUUGCAAUAUAUUUCAGUUUCACAAAGUUUGGGGACAACUCAUGAAGACUGGGUACCAGAACUCUCGCUUUGCACAUCAGGUGGAGAGGUUUGCCUGUCUCUACACGAGCCAAGUGGCCAACCUGCUUCUGUAUCCCCCUGACAAACACUAUAGGCCCAGUGACGAUUUCAUGCCGCAUGAAUUUGAUAUUCUCACAGAAUGAUCGACAGAUUGGUGGAAUAUUGAGACCUGAAAAGCCUCAAGGAGUAUUUCCAAAGAGGGGUGGAAUCUAAGCAUGUCAAUUUGUACCAUAUCCAUGUUAUGUGAAACACAUUUCAAAGGGCUCAUAAUUUUUGAGCAUUUGUUUUAAGUUUACAAGUAGAAUUACAUUUUUUUUUUUUCGUUAUUGACUUCACAAGAGGUACUGGUUUUAUUAGCUUCUUUGAAAGUGAGGUAGAUGAAAGCUGCUUGAAGUUGGUCUACCUCUACACAGGCACCCACUAUUAGGGAAAAAGUGGAAAUUUUGAC
This is a long non-coding RNA of Macadamia integrifolia, 1294 nucleotides long. RefSeq lists it as uncharacterized. The record is from RefSeq and is a predicted model, not a curated record. Lineage: Eukaryota; Viridiplantae; Streptophyta; Magnoliopsida; Proteales; Proteaceae. The transcript has 2 exons.